GCUCCUGUGGUGUAGUGGUAACAUACUCACUUAGGGUGCUACCUGAUAUGUGAGUGAUCCUGCGUUCAAACCGCAGCUGGAGCC
Molecule: non-coding RNA, 84 nt
Organism: Elasticomyces elasticus
Lineage: Eukaryota; Fungi; Ascomycota; Dothideomycetes; Mycosphaerellales; Teratosphaeriaceae
Source: the annotation of a GenBank genome assembly